CCUACGGGGGGCAGCAGUGGGGAAUAUUGCACAAUGGGGGAAACCCUGAUGCAGCGACGCCGCGUGAGUGAAGAAGUAUCUCGGUAUGUAAAGCUCUAUCAGCAGGGAAGAAAAUGACGGUACGUGAUUAAGAAGCCCUGGCUAACUACGUGCCAGCAGCCGCGGUAAUACGUAGGGGGCAAGCGUAAUCCGGAUUUACUGGGUGUAAAGGGAGCGUAGACGGCAGCACAAGUCUGGAGUGAAAUGCCGGGGCUUAACCCCGGGACUGCUCUGGAAACUAUUGGACUUGAGUGCAGGAGAGGUAAGCGGAAUUCGUGGUGUAGCGGUGAAAUGCGUAGAUAUUAGGAGGAACACCAGUGGCGAAGGCAGCUUACUGGACUGUAACUGACGUUGAGGCUCGAAAGCGUGGGGAGCAAACAGGAUUAGAUACCCGUGUAGUC
This 440-nucleotide ribosomal RNA is filed under the name uncultured bacterium. Its description in RNAcentral is "partial 16S ribosomal RNA". It matches the Rfam family "Bacterial small subunit ribosomal RNA", at positions 338 to 795 of the family's 1533-position model. The record is from RNAcentral.